AUUGAACGCUGGCGGCGUGCCUAAUACAUGCAAGUAGGACGCAGUUGCGACCGGGUGAGUAACGCGUAGGUAACUGCCUCUUAGAGGGGGAUAACUAAUGGAAACGAUAGCUAAUACCGCAUACUAGUUGAUGGACCUGCGUUGUAUUAGCUAGUUGGUAGGGUAAUGGCCUAACGAGGCAACGAUACAUAGCCGACCUGAGGGGGUGAGCGGCCACACUGGGACUGAGAAAAGGCCCAGACUCCUACGGGAGGCAGCAGUAGGGAAUCGUCGGGAAUGGGGGGAACCCUGACCGGGCAAAGCCGCGUGAGUGAAGAAGGUUUUCGGAUCGUAAAGCUCUGUUGUUAAGGAAGCGGUACUUAACCAGAAAGGGACGGCUAACUACGUGCCAGCAGCCGCGGUAAUAC
Molecule: ribosomal RNA, 407 nt
Filed under: uncultured bacterium
Lineage: Bacteria
Description: partial 16S ribosomal RNA
Rfam family: Bacterial small subunit ribosomal RNA
Source: RNAcentral